Molecule: ribosomal RNA, 468 nt
Filed under: uncultured bacterium
Lineage: Bacteria
Description: partial 16S ribosomal RNA
Rfam family: Bacterial small subunit ribosomal RNA
Source: RNAcentral
GACGAACGCUGGCGGCGUGCUUAACACAUGCAAGUCGAACGGAAAGGCCCUGCUUUUGUGGGGUGCUCGAGUGGCGAACGGGUGAGUAACACGUGAGUAACCUGCCCUUGACUUUGGGAUAACUUCAGGCAACUGGGGCUAAUACCGGCUAGGAGCUCCUGCUGCAUGGUGGGGGUUGGAAAGUUACGGGGGUUGGGGACGGACUCGCGGCUUAUCAGCUUGUUGGUGGGGUAGUGGCUUACCAAGGCUUUGAUGGGUAGCCGGCCUGAGAGGGUGACCGGCCACAUUGGGACUGAGAUACGGCCCAGACUCCUACGGGAGGCAGCAGUGUGGAAUAUAGCACAAUGGGCGGAAGCCUGAUGCAGCAACGCCGCGUGCGGGAUGACGGCCUUCGGGUUGUAAACCGCGUUCGCCUGUGACAAAGCGUGAGUGACGGUAAUGGGUAAAGAAGCACCGGCUAACUACGUG